This 1474-nucleotide ribosomal RNA is filed under the name uncultured Bordetella sp. RNAcentral describes it as "partial 16S-23S ribosomal RNA intergenic spacer". It matches the Rfam family "Bacterial small subunit ribosomal RNA". Lineage: Bacteria; Pseudomonadati; Pseudomonadota; Betaproteobacteria; Burkholderiales; Alcaligenaceae. The record is from RNAcentral.
AGUUCGAUUAUGGCAAGAUUGAACGCUGGCGGGAUGCUUUACAUGCAAGUCGAACGGCAGCACGGACUUCGGUCUGGUGGCGAGUGGCGAACGGGUGAUGUCUAUCAUCGGAACGUGCCUAGUAGCGGGGGAUAACUACGCGAAAGCGUAGCUAAUACCACAUACGCCCUUCGGAAAGCAGGGGGACCUUCGGGCCUCGCCACUAUUAGAGCGGCCGAUAUCGGAUUAGCUAGUUGGUGGGGUAACGGCUCACCAAGGCGACGAUCCGUGACUGAGACUUUGAGAGGACGACCAGCCACACUGGGACUGAGACACGGCCCAGAACUCCACGGGAGGCAGCAGUGGGGAAUUUUGGACAAUGGGGAAACCUGAUCCAGCCAUCCCGCGUGUGCGAUGAAGGCCUUCGGGUUGCCAGCGCAUUUGGCAGGAAAGAAACGGCCUGGGAUAAUGCCCGUGCAACUGACAGUACCUGCAGAAUAAGCACCGGCUAACUACGUGCCAGCAACCGCGAUCAUCGUGGGGUGCAAGCGUUAAUCGGAAUUACUGGGCGUAAAGCGUGCGCGAACGGUUCGGAAGAAGAUGUGAAAUCCCAGAGCUUAACUUUGGAACUGUUUUUAACUACCGAGCUAGAGUGUGUCAGAGGAGGUGGAAUUCCACGCGUGUAGCAGUGAAAUGCGUAGAUAUGCGGGAAGACACCGAUGGCGAAGGCAGCCUCUGGGAUAACACUGACGCUCAUGCACGAAAGCGGGACCAAACGGAUUAGGUACCCUGGUAGUAUUCCCCGCUACAACGAUGUCAGCUUUAGCUGUUGGGGCCUUCGGGCCUUGGCAGCGCAGCUGUGAGUUGCAGUAAGCACCGCAAGUACGGUCGCAAGAUUAAAACUCAAAGGAAUUGACGGGGACCCGCACAAGCAGUGGAUGAUGUGGAUUAAUUCGAUGCAACGCGAAAAACCUUACCUACCCUCGACAUGUCUGGAAUCGAAGAGAUUUGGGGCUCGCAAGAGAACCGGAACACAGGUGCUGCAUGGCUGUCGUCAGCUCGUGUCGUGAGAUGUUGGGUUAAGUCCCGCAACGAGCGCAACCCUUGUCAUUAGUUGCUACGAAGGAGCACUCUGAAAAAUGAGACUGCCAGUGAUGAAACAAACCGGAGGAAGGUGGGGAUGACGUCAGUCCUCGUGGCCCAUAUGGGCGAACUGCGUCAUACAAUGGUCGGGACAGAGGGUCGCCAACCCGCGAGGAGCCAAUCCAGAAACCCGAUCGUAGUCCGGAUCACAGUCUGCAACUCAUUUGCGUGAAGUCGGAAUCGCUAGUAAUCGCGGAUCAGCAUGUCGCGGUGAAUACGUUCCAGAUGUUGUACACACCGCUUCGUCACACCAUGGGAGUGGAUUUUACCAGAAGUAGUUAGCCUAACCGUAAGGAGGGCGAUUACCACGGUAGGAUUCAUGACUGGGGUGAAGUCGUAACAAGGUAGCUCU